Molecule: ribosomal RNA, 839 nt
Filed under: uncultured Terriglobales bacterium
Lineage: Bacteria; Pseudomonadati; Acidobacteriota; Terriglobia; Terriglobales
Description: bacterial SSU rRNA
Rfam family: Bacterial small subunit ribosomal RNA
Source: RNAcentral
GCUGGCGGCGUGCCUACACAUGCAAGUCGCACGAGAAAGGGUAGUAAUACCUGAGUAAAGUGGCGCACGGGUGAGUAACACGUGACUAAUCUACCCUCGAGUGGGGAAUAACUGAGAGAAAUCUUAGCUAAUACCGCAUAACACUUACGAGUCAAAGCAGCAAUGCGCUUGGGGAGGAGGUCGCGGCCGAUUAGCUAGUUGGCGGGGUAAUGGCCCACCAAGGCGAUGAUCGGUAUCCGGCCUGAGAGGGCGCACGGACACACUGGAACUGAAACACGGUCCAGACUCCUACGGGAGGCAGCAGUGGGGAAUUUUGCGCAAUGGGGGAAACCCUGACGCAGCAACGCCGCGUGGAGGAUGAAAUCCCUUGGGAUGUAAACUCCUUUCGAUAGGGAAGAUAAUGACGGUACCUAUAGAAGAAGCCCCGGCUAACUUCGUGCCAGCAGCCGCGGUAAUACNAGGGGGGCAAGCGUUGUGCGGAAUCACUGGGCUUAAAGCGUGUGUAGGCGGACUCCUAAGUACCUUGUGAAAUCCCACGGCUUACCCGUGGAACUGCUGGGUAUACUGGUUGUCUUGAGCUUUCUAGGGGCGAGUGGAACAAAUGGUGGAGCGGUGAAAUGCGUAGAUAUCAUUUGGAACGCCAAUGGUGAAAACAACUCGCUGGGGAAAUGCUGACGCUGAGACACGAAAGCCAGGGGAGCGAACGGGAUUAGAUACCCCGGUAGUCCUGGGCCGUAAACGAUGUCGACUAGAUCGUGGUACCUCUGACGGUUUCACGGUCGAAGCAAAAGUGCUAAGUCGACCGCCUGGGAAGUACGGUCGCAGGGCUAAACUCAAGG